AAUAUUGCGCAAUGGAGGGAACUCUGACGCAGCGACGCCGCGUGAGCGAUGAAGGUCUUCGGAUCGUAAAGCUCUGUCCUUGGGGAUGAAGGUCUUCGGACUUGACGGUACCUAUGGAGGAAGCCCCGGCUAACUACGUGCCAGCAGCCGCGGUAAUACGUAGGGGGCAAGCGUUGUCCGGAAUUAUUGGGCGUAAAGGGUUCGCAGGCGGCCGAUUAAGUCAGGUGUGAAAUCCCACGGCUUAACCGUGGUAAGCAUUUGAAACUGAUUGGCUUGAGUUAAGGAGAGGAAAGUGGAAUUCCUAGUGUAGCGGUGAAAUGCGUAGAUAUUAGGAGGAAUACCAGUGGCGAAGGCGACUUUCUGGACUUAUACUGACGCUGAGGAACGAAAGCGUGGGGAGCAAAC
This 405-nucleotide ribosomal RNA is filed under the name uncultured bacterium. Its description in RNAcentral is "partial 16S ribosomal RNA". It matches the Rfam family "Bacterial small subunit ribosomal RNA", at positions 360 to 773 of the family's 1533-position model. The record is from RNAcentral.